RNAcentral lists this ribosomal RNA (887 nucleotides) under Fragosphaeria purpurea. Its description in RNAcentral is "eukaryotic LSU rRNA". It matches the Rfam family "Eukaryotic large subunit ribosomal RNA", at positions 33 to 950 of the family's 3401-position model. The record is from RNAcentral. Lineage: Eukaryota; Fungi; Ascomycota; Sordariomycetes; Ophiostomatales; Ophiostomataceae.
CUUAAGCAUAUCAAUAAGCGGAGGAAAAGAAACCAACAGGGAUUGCCCCAGUAACGGCGAGUGAAGCGGCAACAGCUCAAAUUUGAAAUCUGGCCCCCCGGGCCCGAGUUGUAAUUUGGAGAGGAUGCUUCUGGCGCGGCGCCUUCCGAGUGCCUUGGAACAGGCCGCCACAGAGGGUGAGAGCCCCGUACGGUUGGUCGCCUAGCCUCUGCGAAGCUCCUUCGACGAGUCGAGUAGUUUGGGAAUGCUGCUCAAAAUGGGAGGUAAAUUUCUUCUAAAGCUAAAUACCGGCCAGAGACCGAUAGCGCACAAGUAGAGUGAUCGAAAGAUGAAAAGCACUUUGAAAAGAGGGUUAAACAGUACGUGAAAUUGUUGAAAGGGAAGCGCCCGGGGCCAGACUUGCGCCCCGCGGACCACCCGGCGUUCCGCGCCGGUGCACUCCGCGGGGCGCAGGCCAGCAUCGGUUCUUCCAGGGGGAGAAAGGCCGCGGGAACGUAGCUCCUCCGGGAGUGUUAUAGCCCGCGGCGUCAUGCCCCUGGGGGGACCGAGGACCGCGCUUCGGCAAGGAUGCUGGCGUAAUGGCCCCCGGCGACCCGUCUUGAAACACGGACCAAGGAGUCAAGCAUUGGGGCGAGUGUCUGGGUGCCAAACCCGCACGCGAAAUGAAAGUAAACGCAGGUGAGAGCUUCGGCGCAUCAUCGACCGAUCCUGAUGUCUUCGGAUGGAUUUGAGUAAGAGCCCUACCGCUUGGACCCGAAAGAUGGUGAACUAUGCCUGUAUAGGGUGAAGCCAGAGGAAACUCUGGUGGAGGCUCGCAGCGGUUCUGACGUGCAAAUCGAUCGUCAAAUAUGGGCAUGGGGCGAAAGACUAAUCGAACCAUCUAGUAG